GCCAUUUCUUGUGAAUGCUAAACAACGGGGACUCUGUUUUUGGUCCUUAUGCCUUGACCACCUGUUUCUUAGAGUCCUAUCUCUUAUCUUAUUACCUGAUGAGUGGUGUCCUCUCAAGAUUCAUGAUAUUUGUGAGAAGACGUAGGACAACUAAGAUAACACUGGACAAAAUAGACACCAAGUUAAGACCAGACCUGGCAGACACUCUCAGGAUCUACUAGCAAGCUUUGCACAUGAUGCUCACUUGAAAUAGACAUGGCAGUAUUCCGGAGACCAAGGGCUAAAUGCAAGACCUUUGAGGGAUCAAGUCUCAUGUACCAUCCCCAAGGUUAUUUCCAAAAAAGAUUAACACUUGAGUUGGUGAACUGUGAACUGCAUACAGUCUCCCCAGUCUGGGUGAGCAUUAUCCAAUGUCAGGCAGCACCGAACAAAAGUAAAAAAAGGUCACAACCAGGAUCUAUUCUCCACUUUUUCUUGCCAUUGGUAGUGUCCUUAUUUUAGAAUUCUAUAGGAUGGAAUGUGAGUGGAAGUCACACGUCCAAUUUCUGCAGCACGGCUUUUAAAAACCAGGAGACUUGAUUUGAGGAUGAAAGCGUCUUAUUCAGAGAUACCUGCUUCUUUUGACUUUCUGGCCUCACCAUUC
Long non-coding RNA from Tupaia belangeri chinensis (Chinese tree shrew), 643 nucleotides. RefSeq lists it as uncharacterized. The transcript is spliced from 5 exons. Lineage: Eukaryota; Metazoa; Chordata; Mammalia; Scandentia; Tupaiidae. The record is from RefSeq and is a predicted model, not a curated record.